This 850-nucleotide ribosomal RNA is filed under the name uncultured bacterium. RNAcentral describes it as "bacterial SSU rRNA". It matches the Rfam family "Bacterial small subunit ribosomal RNA", at positions 8 to 859 of the family's 1533-position model. The record is from RNAcentral.
AGAGUUUGAUCUGGCUCAGGAUGAACGCUGGCGGCGUGCCUAAUACAUGCAAGUCGAACGCGAGCACUUGUGCUCGAGUGGCGAACGGGUGAGUAAUACAUAAGUAACCUGCCCUAGACAGGGGGAUAACUAUUGGAAACGAUAGCUAAGACCGCAUAGGUACGGACACUGCAUGGUGACCGUAUUAAAAGUGCCUCAAAGCACUGGUAGAGGAUGGACUUAUGGCGCAUUAGCUGGUUGGCGGGGUAACGGCCCACCAAGGCGACGAUGCGUAGCCGACCUGAGAGGGUGACCGGCCACACUGGGACUGAGACACGGCCCAGACUCCUACGGGAGGCAGCAGUAGGGAAUUUUCGGCAAUGGGGGAAACCCUGACCGAGCAACGCCGCGUGAAGGAAGAAGGUUUUCGGAUUGUAAACUUCUGUUAUAAAGGAAGAACGGCGGCUACAGGAAAUGGUAGCCGAGUGACGGUACUUUAUUAGAAAGCCACGGCUAACUACGUGCCAGCAGCCGCGGUAAUACGUAGGUGGCAAGCGUUAUCCGGGAUUAUUGGGCGUAAAGAGGGAGCAGGCGGCAGCAAGGGUCUGUGGUGAAAGCCUGAAGCUUAACUUCAGUAAGCCUAGAAACCAGGCAGCUAGAGUGCAGGAGAGGAUCGUGGAAUUCCAUGUGUAGCGGUGAAAUGCGUAGAUAUAUGGAGGAACACCAGUGGCGAAGGCGACGAUCUGGCCUGCAACUGACGCUCAGUCCCGAAAGCGUGGGGAGCAAAUAGGAUUAGAUACCCUAGUAGUCCACGCCGUAAACGAUGAGUACUAAGUGUUGGAUGUCAAAGUUCAGUGCUGCAGUUAACGCA